RNAcentral lists this small RNA (127 nucleotides) under Marmota monax (woodchuck). Lineage: Eukaryota; Metazoa; Chordata; Mammalia; Rodentia; Sciuridae. The record is from RNAcentral.
GCUGGGCAUGGUGGCACAUGCCUGUAAUCCCAGUGGUUUGGGAGGCUGAGACAUGAGGAUCUCAAGUUCAAAGCCAGCCUUGGCAACAGUGAGGUGCUAAGCAACUCAAUGAGACCCUAUGUCUAAA